UCAGUCCUACGGGAGGCAGCAGUGGGGGAUAUUGCACAAUGGGGGGAACCCUGAUGCAGCGACGCCGCGUGAGCGAAGAAGUACCUCGGUAUGUAAAGCUCUAUCAGCAGGGAAGAAAAUGACGGUACCUGACUAAGAAGCCCCGGCUAAAUACGUGACCGCAGCCGCGGUAAUACGUAUGGGGCAAGCGUUAUCCGGAUUUACUGGGUGUAAAGGGAGCGCAGGCGGCCCGCCAAGUCUGGUGUGAAAACCCGGGGCACAACCCCGGGCCUGCAUUGGAAACUGGCGGUCUG
Molecule: ribosomal RNA, 293 nt
Filed under: uncultured bacterium
Lineage: Bacteria
Description: partial 16S ribosomal RNA
Rfam family: Bacterial small subunit ribosomal RNA
Source: RNAcentral